GCUCAUCGUGCCACAACUAACUUAGGUAGACUUAAUGUAAAUAAAAGUUAAAUGAUGAAUAUUUAUACAUGUUCUUUCUGGCCAUGUUAAAGCAUGUUAAAUAUUGUUAAUGUUUUCAAAUAUAUAAACAAAACUGCAGAAGGAGUGACAUACCAUACUAAUGAAUGAUGCUCAUUUGCCAAAUAAUGUUCAGACACAUCUUAUACCAUUUGUCCAAGAUGCAAACUGCUGGCUGGAGCCUGCCUCAUCCUCAGCGCCUCUUGGGAAUGGAGAAGGUCUGCACAUCGACUCCCUUGAGAUAAGACUGAAGUUCUCACUUUGGCCUGCUCAAGUCUCUCCAGAUCCCAGAGAAGGGCCUAGGACAAAGCCCCUCCGGUGGAAGAGGUGUGCUGAAGCAGGUUCUGUCUGCCCUCUCUCAGCCCAGCUAGGGUCAGAGCUCUUACUCCACUGUAAAGAAUCAGCCUGUCCAGAACACAGUUAGGCUGGUUGGUGUGGUUUAUAGAGCAGAGCCCAAGACAGCACGGGAGAUAGCUCCUCCCUAUAGAAAAUAGACCUUGGAGCAAGUCCCCAACCUCUGCAUGGACUUUUCCUGGAAAACAGAAGAACAAAUUACAAACCAAAGCAACUAGGAGGAAGGAGAGAGUGCGUACCUGCAGCGGUUCUUCCACAAAAUCUCAUUGUUGAGGCGACAGUGCUGCCUAGAGCUGAGUUUCUAUCACAGAGCAGGAAGCCCAAACCCAACCCCUCAACUCUGAGCUGCAAGUGAAGGAGGAAAGUGGACUCUGGUCCAACCAGGAUGUACCAGGGCUCAGAACACCUCGCACCUCCAAGGCAGCACCUGCUCCAGGCUACAGAACGUGGCCAUGCAGUGUACUCCAACUGCCCUGAGCCCAUCAAAAAUCAAGGCCACUGUUCCACAGGAUGGAGCAUGGUUUUGGUUCUCUGCAUUUUCUGAUGCUUUGCUGACCCCAGAGAGACUCCCUCUCCAGGUCUAGCCGAUUGCCAGAGACAGUAAAGGUCCCAAUGCAAGUGCUCCUUCCAUCCUCUAACUAAACAAUCCCGGUCCCUGCAGUUGGCCCACCAUAUCCCUGGGCUCACAUCCAUAGACUCAACCAACUGCAGAUCCAAAUUUUUUGGGAAAAAAAAAAAAGGAUGAUGUUUGUACUUAACACUUGUACUGG
This 1181-nucleotide long non-coding RNA is filed under the name Marmota monax (woodchuck). Lineage: Eukaryota; Metazoa; Chordata; Mammalia; Rodentia; Sciuridae. The record is from RNAcentral.